ACCAAGGGCUGCAGCUUGUCCUGCAGUCCUAACAGAGAUCAGGCUGUUACACGAGGAAAUCUGCUGUUGCCUUCUACUUGAGGACUUCAUAUAAGGUUCAGCGCCUUAUCUCAGAUGCCAAGGUCUCCAGAGGACAACCAGAGGAACCUGAAUGAAAAGCACAGGGCUCGUGAUGGGCUGUGAUCCAUGCCUGGCUCCUGCGCUAUGCACCAGCCGAAUGCUGAAGGUCAGGCGGUGCGGGCAGCCCUGGGCCUCCUGCUGCUCUGACCCUUCCUGUUGCCAUGCUCCAAGCAGAGCGCUGCCUGACCGUGAGCAGAGGGCCCUGCCUCAGCUGUGGCGUUUUGUUUUCCUUUGCUC
Molecule: long non-coding RNA, 357 nt
Filed under: Gallus gallus (chicken)
Lineage: Eukaryota; Metazoa; Chordata; Aves; Galliformes; Phasianidae
Source: RNAcentral